CUGGUGGCUAUUACACCGAACGUUACACUUCUAAAUCGAGCCUACAAGAGAGCCUGGGACUAAGCCUUGAGACAACGAGCAUUCGAUGGCCAAGUAGAAGAUGAUGAACCUGCAAAAGACUAAGAAGCUGUCAAAGAGAAUGGAUCCCUUCCAAAAGUAACAUUCUUGCCUACAUUAGUCUUACUUGGAGGACUCAUGAAUUAUUUGAGCCAGAGCACGUCAUGAAGUUGCAAUAAAGGAGCUGCACUGGUGGUUCAAGACCUUGAAACUACUCUGCCUAGGACUCCUGAUUGCUGAAUCCUUGAAAUGAUUAGUCAAGCUUGACACUGGGUAAGGUCUCUGAUUUCGGUGUAUCCGACAUGAUAGUCUAAUCCUUUGCGUAUCUCAGCCAUUAUCUUUUCCCUUCUCCAGAACAUACCUGUCUCUAGAACAAUCAACUUGUUGUUGCAUUUUUACAUGUUCUUGCAUUUUUACAUGUUCUCACUCUUUUUU
RNAcentral lists this long non-coding RNA (492 nucleotides) under Homo sapiens (human). Its description in RNAcentral is "HSALNT0186111". Lineage: Eukaryota; Metazoa; Chordata; Mammalia; Primates; Hominidae. The record is from RNAcentral.